Molecule: non-coding RNA, 445 nt
Organism: Parasteatoda tepidariorum (common house spider)
Lineage: Eukaryota; Metazoa; Arthropoda; Arachnida; Araneae; Theridiidae
Source: RefSeq, a predicted model, not a curated record
GAAAUUCUCAGGAGUUUUGAAUUUCUGAGGUCUGUAAUGCUUUUCUCUCGUGAUUUUCCAUGGAAAAUGUAAGUUUGAUAAUGCAUUUUAAGUGAGGGGGGAUAGUUACUAGAAUAUAAAGCACUUUAAUGGAAAACCUUUUAAAAUAGUAUGCAUUGUAAUACAAAUUGAAUUUUGCUGUUAUAGAAAUAUAUUCUUAUAUUUCAGCACAAUAGUGGAGCUGAUUUAGCAAUCCUUUUAAUCAAUGUAUUAAAUGAAUCUGAAGUAGCUGUUUGUGAUGAAUAUAUGGAAAAAUUAGCCACUCUGUUUUCAAUGAUGUUGCCAGACUCUCCUGAAAGAUCUAACUUCUUAACAACAGCUUUGAAGUGGUCCAGCAAAAAUAGUUGUACAGAUUCUUUUGGGCAUCCCAACUUACACAAGUUAAUUGCUAAUGCAUUAUGGAAAG